This 104-nucleotide microRNA precursor is filed under the name Xyrichtys novacula (pearly razorfish). The record is from RNAcentral. Lineage: Eukaryota; Metazoa; Chordata; Actinopteri; Labriformes; Labridae.
ACCUGGUUAUAUCCUGAGACAUUACCUGGUUAUAACCUAGUUAUAUCCUGAGCCAUUACCUGGUUAUAACCUGGUUAUAACCUGCUUAUGUCCUGAGACAUUAC